CUACGGGUCGCUGCAGUGAGGAAUAUUGCACAAUGGGGGGAACCCUGAUGCAGCAACGCCGCGUGGAGGAUGACGCAUUUCGGUGUGUAAACUCCUUUUAUAUGUCAAGAAAAUGACGGUAGCAUAUGAAUAAGCACCGGCUAACUCCGUGCCAGCAGCCGCGGUAAUACGGAGGGUGCAAGCUUUACUCGGAAUCACUGGGCGUAAAGGACGCGUAGGCGGGUUGGAAAGUCAGGUGUGAAAUACUACGGCUUAACUGUAGAACUGCACUUGAAACUUCUAAUCUAGAGUAUGGGAGGGGGAGAUGGAAUUAGUGGUGUAGGGGUAAAAUCCGUAGAUAUCACUAGGAAUACCUAAAGCGAAGGCGAUCUCCUGGAACAUUACUGACGCUAAGGCGUGAAAGCGUGGGGAGCAAACAGGAUUAGAUACCCCAGUAGUC
Molecule: ribosomal RNA, 439 nt
Filed under: uncultured bacterium
Lineage: Bacteria
Description: partial 16S ribosomal RNA
Rfam family: Bacterial small subunit ribosomal RNA
Source: RNAcentral